UACGUAGGGGGCGAGCGUUGUCCGGAUUUAUUGGGCGUAAAGAGCGUGUAGGCGGCCUGGCCGGUCUGCUGUGAAAACUCGAGGCUCAACCUCGAGAUGUCGGCGGAAACCGUCUGGCUAGAGUCCGGAAGAGGAGAGUGGAAUUCCUGGUGUAGCGGUGAAAUGCGCAGAUAUCAGGAAGAACACCUAUGGCGAAGGCAGCUCUCUGGGACGGUACUGACGCUGAGACGCGAAAGCGUGGGGAGCGAACAGG
This 253-nucleotide ribosomal RNA is filed under the name uncultured bacterium. RNAcentral's name for it is "partial 16S ribosomal RNA". It matches the Rfam family "Bacterial small subunit ribosomal RNA", at positions 524 to 776 of the family's 1533-position model. The record is from RNAcentral.